UGUAGAGCCAAUUGUUUGGGCUGAUAGAUCUACGUGGAUGUCUCCUCUAUAGAACAGAUAAUGUUUUGUGGAAAUUGUGUGCCUAAAACAGAUUAUAUAUUUUCUACUAUAGAAUUUUUUUAGUAAACAUAUGAUGUGGUGGGAUUCUCUGUACCGAAGUAUUAUCAGUUGUAAUAUUACAUUAAAAUUAUUAAAACAUAAACGUUUCUUGCAUAAUAGUAUGUUGGUGUGACGAAUGUAAAGUAUUAUAAUACAGGACACCAAAUAUAAUUGUUAUAUAAAAUUAAGUACACCGCUGACGUGAAGUUACUGUUAUAUCUACUUGUUGAGAAAAAUCUAAAUGCUGAUUAUAUUAAAAAUUGCAGAUGAAUAAACUCCCUUGUUCUAUAAAUAUAUUUUUAUUUCAAUAUAAAAAUGAUGGGGAGAUUUAAAGACGAAUUUUUACCACAGACGGGAGACUACUUUCCACUGACCUUCCAGUCUAAAGUCUGUAAAUACCUGAGUUAAUAACAUGUAAACCUGUUAUUAUGACUACGAUCUUUACGGGAGAAGUUGUAGUAGAACAUGUCGAAAUUACUCAAUGAAUAGCAGCUUAGUGUCAAUAAAUGCAUGGAUUGGAUAUAUACAUAAAAUUUAAACUAGAUUUGUUUUAUGGUCAUGCCACAUUAAGGUAAACCUUUGGAGAGUUCUGAAGAUUGAUUAUUAGUUGACUUUACAGUAAACUAAUAAAUGAAACUUCACUGAUGGCUUAAGAACAUUGAUAUGGAUACAAAUGUUGAAUUUCGGCUUCUGUGAGUAAACGUUAGGCAUGACUAGGACACAAGGCAAAGGCAAUUGAGACUGUUUGGCCCUACCAGAGCUCGCAAAGACCCUUCUACAGACAACAAUACCAGGGAAAAAAAAGAAAGGCAGACAAAAGAAUCGAUGGGAAGACAACAUCUGUAAGAGGAUGGGGGAGAUGUAGGAAUAGUCAAAGCUGUACACCCAGCAACAUGAUGACUGUGAAUUCUAGUGAUAACUAAAAUGGAUUGUUUUGAGGCUUCAGACGAUGGUAUUCCAUAACUCUAAACAAUGGAUAUUGAUGUAGACGAUGUAUCUUUGUCCGCCAUUUCUCAAUCAGAUUGCCACCAAUCCUAUCGACAUGAGUACAUGAGUACUUAAUGACCAGUUUUGAGUAGUUUCAACAGAUGAUGUGUAGUUAGUGAAAGAAAUUAGUUGAAUUUGUGAACAAAGAGAGUUCAUUGAGGAAGAUAUACUGAUUGAGUCAGGAUUUCCAGAUAAUGAGUUAUGCCUUGAAAAUCACCAAUACACAGCUAUGAGGGAAAUGUGUGUCCACAAUUUGCCCCUAGAAUUUCAAGAUCAGAAUUUUCUUUUAUUUCUCAUAAUGGCACGUAUCCUCACGUGCAAAAUUAUUGUCCGGGGCAUAUCACAGCAUCGGCCUCAGAGUUUCGCUCUGGAUCGACGCAUUGGGGACAUGGAGCGUGUAGGUACUGGAAGCCUAAUAGACGUAAGCAGAUGUGGGCUUCACAGACAAUGGGAAUUGCUGCAACUAGCUGGUCUGAAUUGUGAUAGGAGAGACUUAUUCACCCUUUCUAUACUUACCAGUAGACAUUUGGUGUACGACACGGACGAAGCACUACACACCACUGUGCAGUUCUUCCAUUUUUUCAAUCAUGUUCCAGCCACGGAAAUAACUGGACGCGACAUUCGGCCUUUUCCUGACGGAGAUGAUCAGACGUGUCUUUUAAUUUGUAAGGGUGUACAGCCUGGUCUGAUAGAGGAACUGAAGGAUAUACAGGACAAGCUUCUGGGGCUGGAGAACUCUAUACCAAACAUUAUAAAAGCGAGAUUGUCCAAUCAGACAUUCCUAGUGAGUUAUCCCCACGGAGAACAGCAGAUGAUGUGUCAGGGAUGGUGUCAAGAAAGAGAAGACAACAAUGCGGACGCUGGAGAUAGACCCCGUAAAUGUCUAGAACAUCAAGUCUGCACAUGUCCAGGGAGUCUCGGUGCACCAAUGAUAACCUUUAGGAAUCUUCAAAACCCAUCAGGCUCAAAUUACAAAAUGGACAUAUGGCUCCAUCUUGGAAGAAAUUUGGAGACAGGCUUUAAAGUGUCACACGUAAAAUAAUGUCCAUAGUUGUAAUUUGUCUUCAAUUCUCAUUAGUGAUUUUUGUAAAUAAAUGUGGAUUAUAGCCUACAAGAAAGGAGAUUAAAUGCAAUGUACGUACAAAUAGGCGGUACAGUGGCUUAAGGGUAAAGCGCUUGGCUUAAGAAACGGAGGUCCCAGUUUCAAAUCUCGGUGAAUACUGGGAUUUUUUAUUUCAGGAUCUUUAGGGCACCUCUGAAUCAACCUAGUUGUUAUGGGUACCUAACAUUAGUUGGGGAAAAGUAAAAGUCGUUGUGCUGGCCACAUAACAUACUCGUUAACCGCACACCACACAAAGAGUUAACCUUUGCAUCAUCUGCUUUAAUAGAUCGCAAGUUUGAAGACGGGAAUUCUUACGUCCAAAUAUAUGUCAAAUAAUGUUUACACUAUGUACACAUUCUAACUAAAAUGACAAGAUUUUGUGCGAUGUGUUACAGUCUUUCAUUGUUUUAAUGACUCAACAGCACAGGAGUACUAGUAGUUCUUCCUAUACUGCCUACCUAUAUACUGGAUGGCUGCCUGGUCGUGCGGUUUGCGCGCUGGACUGUCGUUCGGAUUUAUCAAUGGUUUCGGGUUCAAACCCUGACCGCUCCCAUCCCCCGUCGUCCUGCGGGAGGUUUGGACUAUCUUAUCUUAUCUUAUAUAAUACAGACGUUACUUCAAAAAAGAAGAUGAUUACGUCCUACGCUAGGAAGACUAGGAAGUAAAUUCUCUUCAACUCUGAAGGAACAUCCGAAACGUGUUAAACAUUUUACAAACAUAUACUGUUAUCCCUUCAGCGAUUGUGUAGCUCAUCUUUCAUUAAACAGAAACAGUUUUUAAAAGGGGGAAAAGGCGAUAUUAUUUUUGUGUGGAAUGUCUGUCCGUCCGUCCGAACUGUGUAACUACGAACAUAUCUUGAAAACCAAAAUCCUGUAUGACUUUUUAAAUUGAUAUUGUGUAUAAGUUGUCAAUGCAAUGCAAUCCAUUUUUUAUAACAUUUAACUGUACGAUUUCAGAGGUGUCACCUGUGAGGCUACAAAAUAAUUAACAUGCAGGAUCUGACCCCCUUUGCAUCAUAUGUCUCCGCCCAUAGGUCAAAAAAGUGUAAUAGGGAAACAGUUGUAGAUCUAUGUGCACAUUGUAUUGUAUGCAACUAGUUUCGAUAUAUAUGGUAGCCGAAUUCUCUAUAUGAAACUUUAAAGAUUAUAAUGUUCCUAUAUUGUAUUAUUUAGAGAAUUCCGGUGGUUUAAAGUUGUUGUUUUUUUAAUUGCUUAUUGCUUAAUAUGUUAUAUAAAUAUUUAUAGCACAACGCAAUGCAUUUUCAUAUCAUGCAGAGUUAUUUAUGUCGUUGCAAAUUAUGAGAAACUUUGGUAAAGAACAAAGCAGCAGCCCAUUGAAGUAGAUAUCCUUCAGAGACGCUGGAGAUGGAGAGGUCACACCCUUUGCAAUCCUGCAUCCAACAUUCCAAGACAACCCCUUCACCAGAAACCCCAAAGGAAAGAGGAAGAGGGGACGGUUCACUAAUACAUUGUGUCGCGAUUUGGAAGCAGAUGCCAAGAAGAUGGGCGAGACGUGGGGACAGUUGGAGAGACUCGCCCAGAACCGAGACGCCUGGGUGAAGCUGGUUGGUAACGUAUGCCCCAGACGGAGAACAGGAAGAGAUGAUGAUGAAAUUACGUCUUUUUUCUGUUUGAGAAUUUAAACAUAAUAAUUCAUCUGCAUCGAAGACGUAAUCACAGGCAUAAUAGACAUAAAGAAAAGUUCUGAAAAUAACCUUAUAGUUUAUGUUUUAGAUUUAAUUAUAUUAUUUUUGUUAAUUUCAUAGAAAUUUUGAAUAAAAAAAAUUUAACCAGCAGGUAAAUGUAACAUUUACACAUUCAUUGUAUGCAUUAUUUUUUAUUGGGGGCGGCCAUAUUCCAAAGGGAUACUACUUAUACUCACGUUACUUUCUCAAUGCCAAUUAGAGUAACAUCCCCUAAAAUUUCUUCAGCCGAGAAAAUGUGUCGGCAGUGCAUCUAAUGUAAAACUUUGUUUCCUGUGAUUUUAGGAUUAGCUUUUUAACA
Biomphalaria glabrata is the source of this 4191-nucleotide RNA transcript. RefSeq lists it as uncharacterized. Lineage: Eukaryota; Metazoa; Mollusca; Gastropoda; Planorbidae. The transcript has 5 exons. The record is from RefSeq and is a predicted model, not a curated record.